GGAAAGUUAGACGGGGGCCCGGCACAAGCGGUGGAGUAUGUGGUUAAUUCGAUGCAACGCGAAGAACCUUACCUGGUCUUGACAUCCCGGAGACCCUUAGGAAACUAGGGGGUGCUUCCAUCUGGAAGAAUCUGGAGACAGGUGCUGCAUGGCUGUCGUCAGCUCGUGUCGUGAGAUGUUGGGUUAAGUCCCGCAACGAGCGCAACCCUUGCCUUUAGUUGCCAGCAGUUCGGCUGGGCACUCUAAAGGGACUGCCGGUGUUAAACCGGAGGAAGGUGGGGAUGACGUCAAGUCCUCAUGGCCUUUAUGACCAGGGCUACACACGUACUACAAUGGCCGAUACAAAGGGCAGCGACACUGCGAGGUGAAGCCAAUCCCGUAAAAUCGGUCUCAGUCCGGAUUGGAGUCUGCAACUCGACUCCAUGAAGUUGGAAUCGCUAGUAAUCGUGGAUCAGCAUGCCACGGUGAAUACGUUCCCGGGCCUU
RNAcentral lists this ribosomal RNA (485 nucleotides) under uncultured Desulfobulbus sp. RNAcentral's name for it is "bacterial SSU rRNA". It matches the Rfam family "Bacterial small subunit ribosomal RNA", at positions 912 to 1382 of the family's 1533-position model. Lineage: Bacteria; Pseudomonadati; Thermodesulfobacteriota; Desulfobulbia; Desulfobulbales; Desulfobulbaceae. The record is from RNAcentral.